AUUUAUCUUCGUGAGGGUAAAGAUAAAUUAAUAUUUGGUCCAGAAGUACCAUAUCUUAGUGAAGUAUAUGCUUUAUUGUAUUUGGCACAAUACAUUGAAUGAAAUAAAGCUUAUUUAUUACUAUAUCUCCAAGAAAUUACAGAUAUAUACAUACACAUGAGUUAAAACAAACAAACAGGAUGGAGCCUUCACAAAGGUUGCUCAUGUGAAGCCUCAGUACUCGGGAAGUACCCAAGAAGGAGGAGGCACUGGAGAUUGAUCAUGUGGCACCCCAGUACUUAGCAAAACACCAGAAGGGGAGGCACUGAAGGAUUCAAAUUGCUUGAAGUAAGCCUCUGAAGGGUAAAACAUAAAAAUAUGUACUCAAUACCAAUGAAUGAUGAUGAUAUAAAUUGCCUUAGUGAGUACUAUCAUUAUGAUAUUGUUGCAACAUACUAAAAUCUCUUGCAAGAGUCAAUGACAUUAAAUUAGAACUCUUGAAGAGUUGAUGAUAUUAAAUUGGGACUCCUGAAGAGUCUAGAAAAAUUAUAUAAAGUGUUGAAGGAAUUAUUGUCUCGAGCUGCAGAUCGAACAAUCUACCAACACGAAUCUUAUCCAUGAUAUUUAUGAUAUUAAAAGAACCAUAUGGAUUGAAGAUUAUGAGUUGAAUACUCAUAUGAUGAAGACACUAAGAAUAAUCAUUUAUCUUCGUGAGGAUAAAGAUAAAUUAAUAUUUGGUCCAGAAGUACCAUAUCUUAGUGAAGUAUAUGCUUUAUUGUAUUUGGCACAAUACAUUGAAUGAAAUAAAGCUUAUUUAUUAAUAUCUCCAAGAAAUUACAGAUAUAUACAUACACAUGAGUUAAAACAAACAAACAGGAUGGAGCCUUCACAAAGGUUGCUCAUGUGAAGCCUCAGUACUCGGAAGUACCCAAGAAGGAGGAGGCACUGGAGAUUGAUCAUGUGGCACCCCAGUACUUAGCAAAACACCAGAAGGGGAGGCACUGAAGGAUUCAAAUUGCUUGAAGUAAGCCUCUGAAGGGUAAAACAUAAAAUAUGUACUCAAUACCAAUGGAUGAUAUAAAUUGCCUUAGUG
RNAcentral lists this long non-coding RNA (1072 nucleotides) under Malus domestica (apple). RNAcentral's name for it is "long non-coding RNA (MDOM_LNC011553)". The record is from RNAcentral. Lineage: Eukaryota; Viridiplantae; Streptophyta; Magnoliopsida; Rosales; Rosaceae.